This 253-nucleotide ribosomal RNA is filed under the name uncultured bacterium. RNAcentral's name for it is "partial 16S ribosomal RNA". It matches the Rfam family "Bacterial small subunit ribosomal RNA", at positions 524 to 776 of the family's 1533-position model. The record is from RNAcentral.
UACGUAGGGCGCGAGCGUUGUCCGGAAUUAUUGGGCGUAAAGAGCUCGUAGGCGGCCUGUUGCGUCCGCUGUGAAAUCCCGGGGCUCAACCCUGGGCGUGCAGUGGAUACGGGCAGGCUGGAGGCAGGCAGGGGAGAACGGAAUUCCCGGUGUAGCGGUGAAAUGCGCAGAUAUCGGGAGGAACACCGGUGGCGAAGGCGGCCAUCUGGACGGUAACUGACGCUGAGACGCGAAAGCGUGGGGAGCAAACAGG